AUACGGAGGAUCCGAGCGUUAUCCGGAUUUAUUGGGUUUAAAGGGAGCGUAGGUGGAUUGUUAAGUCAGUUGUGAAAGUUUGCGGCUCAACCGUAAAAUUGCAGUUGAAACUGGCAGUCUUGAGUACAGUAGAGGGGGGCGGAAUUCGUGGUGUAGCGGUGAAAUGCUUAGAUAUCACGAAGAACUCCGAUUGCGAAGGCAGCUCACUAGACUGUUACUGACACUGAUGCUCGAAAGUGUGGGUAUCAAACAGGAUUAGAUACCCUGGUAGUCCACACAGUAAACGAUGAAUACUCGCUGUUUGCGAUAUACAGUAAGCGGCCAAGCGAAAGCAUUAAGUAUUCCACCUGGGGAGUACGCCGGCAACGGUGAAACUCAAAGGAAUUGACGGGG
RNAcentral lists this ribosomal RNA (393 nucleotides) under uncultured bacterium. Its description in RNAcentral is "partial 16S ribosomal RNA". It matches the Rfam family "Bacterial small subunit ribosomal RNA", at positions 523 to 918 of the family's 1533-position model. The record is from RNAcentral.